This 282-nucleotide ribosomal RNA is filed under the name Pseudo-nitzschia fraudulenta. Its description in RNAcentral is "partial Bacterial small subunit ribosomal RNA". It matches the Rfam family "Bacterial small subunit ribosomal RNA", at positions 583 to 864 of the family's 1533-position model. Lineage: Eukaryota; Bacillariophyta; Bacillariophyceae; Bacillariales; Bacillariaceae. The record is from RNAcentral.
UUAAGUCAGUGGUCAAAGCCCAUCGCUCAACGAUGGAAUUGCCAUUGAUACUGGAGGCCUUGAGUUCAGUUGAGGUAGGCGGAAUUUAUGGUGUAGCGGUGAAAUGCAUAGAUACCAUAAAGAACACCGAUAGCGAAGGCAGCUUGCUAAGCGACAACUGACACUAAUGUACGAAAGCGUGGGUAGCGAACAGGAUUAGAUACCCUGGUAGUCCACGCCGUAAACGCUGUCUACUAGCUGUGUGUGCCUUUAAGGCGUGCGUAGCGAAGCUAACGCGCUAAG